GGGGCUGUAGCUUAGUGGUAGAGUUCUUGCUUAGUAUGCAGGAGGCCCUAGGUUCAAUCCCUAGCACUGCCA
Non-coding RNA from Chionomys nivalis (European snow vole), 72 nucleotides. NCBI's taxonomy places the organism in Eukaryota, Metazoa, Chordata, Mammalia, Rodentia, Cricetidae. The record is from the annotation of a RefSeq genome assembly.